RNAcentral lists this transfer RNA (78 nucleotides) under Candidatus Altimarinota bacterium. Its description in RNAcentral is "tRNA-Arg". It matches the Rfam family "tRNA". Rfam says of the family: Transfer RNA (tRNA) molecules are approximately 80 nucleotides in length. Their secondary structure includes four short double-helical elements and three loops (D, anti-codon, and T loops). The record is from RNAcentral. Lineage: Bacteria; Candidatus Altimarinota.
GCAGCCGUAGCUCAGUUGGAUUAGAGCACCUCCCUGCGAAGGAGGGGGUCGUGGGUUCAAGUCCCGCCGGUUGUACCA